UGCGCGGGCCGGGCCCCUCUGGCGCAGCGUCUUCCUUGGGAAUGCUGCGUGAUGUCGGACCGCAUCG
Molecule: regulatory RNA element, 67 nt
Organism: Novosphingobium lindaniclasticum LE124
Lineage: Bacteria; Pseudomonadati; Pseudomonadota; Alphaproteobacteria; Sphingomonadales; Sphingomonadaceae
Rfam family: terC RNA
Source: Rfam